Non-coding RNA from Callithrix jacchus (white-tufted-ear marmoset), 2156 nucleotides. The record is from RefSeq and is a predicted model, not a curated record. NCBI's taxonomy places the organism in Eukaryota, Metazoa, Chordata, Mammalia, Primates, Cebidae.
ACUGCGAUCAUUACUAUCACAAAUAGCCUUCACCAAUGAUGAUUCCACCUGCCUUUUACCAAAUGCACCCAUUGGCUGAAACAACUUUCUGAGUGGCGCACUCCCGUUUUGCAUGGGUCCAGAACCGGCGUUCUGAGAGGUGAUGACUUGCUCAGGUUUCCACAGCUUGAAGAGGCUGCACUGAGAUCUGAACCCAGUCACUCUGACUCUAAAAAUCAAUGCAUAGUGACUCCAUGCUAGACACACUGCCCAUGAUCUCCCCUAUCUUACAUCAGUCCUCAGAAAUAGCUCGUUAUCCUGCUGGCAGCUGAGGAAGGUUCUGAGAGGUGCAUUGAUAAGCCCGGACUCACACAGCCAGCAUGUUCAGAGACAGCUCAGGCAGCACAGAAUCUAGAGUCUGCCCGAGCUGUCUCUCAGGAAUACAGAGCCCAAGGGUGUCCUCCCAAGCUUCACCCCAGAAACCAGGAGCAACUUCUGCAAAUGCACCUUGUGUAGGAAGUCAGAGGCCAAGCCACAGACCAGGUGGUUUCUGCUCCUCCAGAUGCCAGUGCUCCUCCAUCCUCAAAGCCACGUGUGAGAAGCCUGACCAUGACACAGCACUUCCAUCCACUAUUGUUGUUGGGCAGAAGUCUCCUUUGAGAUGUUCUCUGCAGGGUAAUCAUCCAGGGCACUGGAUGUGUAAAAACACCAGAAGGUGAUGGUGUGAGGAUGAGACACCAGAGCUCUUUCUCUUCUCCACGUGAAGAUACAGCAGGAAGGCGGCCAUCUGCAACCUGGCUGAUAGCCCUCACUGGGAACUCAAUCUGCUCACACCUUGCUCUUGAACUUUCCAGCCUCCAGAGCUAUGAGAAAUAAAUUUCUAUUGCUUAAGCAACCUAGUCGACAGUAUUUUGUUAUGACAGCCCAAAUGGACUAAGAGAAAUAGCAACCAUAGCUUCCUUUCAUUGUCCCUGCCUGCGCUACCUAGGAAAGACUCGGUCCAAUGCACCAGUUUACACUUAUAUCUCCCGAUGCUUCUUGCCAUAUAAGGAGGAAGAAACAUGAGGAUUCUCAAACACCCCCAUUUUCCUUUUUAGUAUAAAGGAAGAGGGGGUCUCUGAGGCACCCUUCACUUUGGGCAGUGAUUGUCAAGCAGGUGCACUUCUGCCCUCUGGAGACAUUUGGCAAUGUUGAAAGGACAUUUUUGGCUGUCAUAGUUGAGGAAAGGUACUACUGGCAUCUGGAAGGUAGAGUCCAGGGAUGCUGCUAAAUACCCUACAAUGCACAGGACAGCCCCCUGCAACAAUUAUCCAGACCAAAAUGUCAACAGUGCCAACGUCGAGGAAGCUUGGCCUCAAGGAACCAUUCAACUCAUAGCCAAGAGAUGACUAAACAAUCCUCACUGAAACUGACAGCGUUGACAUAGGGCGUGCAGCCCACCUUUGGCAAAGAAUACCAGGGGAAGCAAGUGACUUCCCAUGGAGAAGCAUCUAUCUCCAAACUCCAUUUCAAAACUCUCACUCUAAAAAGGCCUCCUCAUCCUUUGUCUUAUCCAUAAUAAGUUCCACUCCACAGCCACAGAGCUCCACAGAUCACAAAGACCAGAGAGCCCGCUGGAAAACAGGGCCCAUAAAGCAAUGCCUCCUGAGUCUCAUAAUUCAACCUGAUCCUUCAGGGCACUUCUCUGACCCUGAAGGCAGGUCAGAGGGGGCCAGUGAUAUCCAAGUGCUGGGCCGAAAGCUCCCUGAAACUUACAGCUAAUAAAAACUUUCACAGUACCAUCAUCUUUGAGCUGGGCACCAUUCUAAGCAUGCUUUACACGCAGAAACACAUUUAAUCCACAAACACUCCAGGAAGCUCUUCUGCCAUCUCCAUGUUAAAAAUGAGAAAACAGGCAGAAAAGAUAAUUUGUCCAAAGUUUAAUGGAUAGUAAGUGUAGCAUGCAGAAUUUCAACCCCAACUUCCUUAAGAGAAGUUUCACAGUGCUACAAAUUGUGUUUGGUGUAUACUGCUUGGGUGAUGGGUGGUCCAAAAUCUCACAAACGACCAGUAAAGAAUUUGCUCAUGUAAACCAAAUAUAACCUGUUUCCCAAAAACCUAUGGAAAUAAAAUUUUUAAAAAUAAAAGGAGUUUCACAUUGCAUCUCUAGAAUUAAAAUUACAUUUUAAAACAAACAA